UGAAGCCGGAAUCGCUAGUAAUCGCGGAUCAGAAUGCCGCGGUGAAUACGUUCCCGGGUCUUGUACACACCGCCCGUCACACCAUGGGAGUUGGAAAUGCCCGAAGUCAGUGGCCCAACCGGAAGGGGGAGCUGCCGAAGGCAGGUUCGAUGACUGGGGUGAAGUCGUAACAAGGUAUC
This 179-nucleotide ribosomal RNA is filed under the name uncultured bacterium. RNAcentral describes it as "partial 16S ribosomal RNA". It matches the Rfam family "Bacterial small subunit ribosomal RNA", at positions 1321 to 1500 of the family's 1533-position model. The record is from RNAcentral.